GAGCUUGCUCUGGUGGCGAGUGGCGAACGGGUGAGUAAUAUAUCGGAACGUACCCUGGAGUGGGGGAUAACGUAGCGAAAGUUACGCUAAUACCGCAUACGAUCUAAGGAUGAAAGUGGGGGAUCGCAAGACCUCAUGCUCGUGGAGCGGCCGAUAUCUGAUUAGCUAGUUGGUAGGGUAAAAGCCUACCAAGGCAUCGAUCAGUAGCUGGUCUGAGAGGACGACCAGCCACACUGGAACUGAGACACGGUCCAGACUCCUACGGGAGGCAGCAGUGGGGAAUUUUGGACAAUGGGCGCAAGCCUGAUCCAGCAAUGCCGCGUGAGUGAAGAAGGCCUUCGGGUUGUAAAGCUCUUUUGUCAGGGAAGAAACGGUGGGAGCUAAUAUCUCCUGCUAAUGACGGUACCUGAAGAAUAAGCACCGGCUAACUACGUGCCAGCAGCCGCGGUAAUACGUAGGGUGCAAGCGUUAAUCGGAAUUACUGGGCGUAAAGCGUGCGCAGGCGGUUUUGUAAGUCUGAUGUGAAAUCCCCGGGCCCAACCUGGGAAUUGCAUUGGAGACUGCAAGGCUAGAAUCUGGCAGAGGGGGGUAGAAUUCCACGUGUAGCAGUGAAAUGCGUAGAUAUGUGGAG
RNAcentral lists this ribosomal RNA (631 nucleotides) under uncultured Janthinobacterium sp. RNAcentral describes it as "bacterial SSU rRNA". It matches the Rfam family "Bacterial small subunit ribosomal RNA", at positions 76 to 703 of the family's 1533-position model. Lineage: Bacteria; Pseudomonadati; Pseudomonadota; Betaproteobacteria; Burkholderiales; Oxalobacteraceae. The record is from RNAcentral.